Molecule: ribosomal RNA, 447 nt
Filed under: uncultured bacterium
Lineage: Bacteria
Description: partial 16S ribosomal RNA
Rfam family: Bacterial small subunit ribosomal RNA
Source: RNAcentral
AGCCAGACUCCUACGGGAGGCAGCAGUGGGGGAUAUUGCACAAUGGGGGGAACCCUGAUGCAGCGACGCCGCGUGGGUGAAGGAGCGUUUCGGCGCGUAAAGCCCUAUCGGCAGGGAAGAAGGAGGACGGUACCUGACUAAGAAGCCCCGGCUAACUACGUGCCAGCAGCCGCGGUAAUACGUAGGGGGCAAGCGUUAUCCGGAUUUACUGGGUGUAAAGGGAGCGUAGACGGCAGUGCAAGUCCGGAGUGAAAGCCCGGGGCUCAACCCUGGGACUGCUCUGGAAACUGUAAAGCUGGAGUGCGGGAGGGGCAGGCGGAAUUCCUGGUGUAGCGGUGAAAUGCGUAGAUAUCAGGAGGAACACCGGCGGCGAAGGCGGCCUGCUGGACCGUAACUGACGUUGAGGCUCGAAAGCGUGGGGAGCAAACAGGAUUAGAUACCCGAGUA